Molecule: ribosomal RNA, 425 nt
Filed under: uncultured cyanobacterium
Lineage: Bacteria; Bacillati; Cyanobacteriota
Description: bacterial SSU rRNA
Rfam family: Bacterial small subunit ribosomal RNA
Source: RNAcentral
GGGGAAUUUUCCGCAAUGGGCGAAAGCCUGACGGAGCAAUACCGCGUGAGGGAAGAAGGCUUUUGGGUUGUAAACCUCUUUUCUCAAGGAAGAACAAAAUGACGGUACUUGAGGAAUAAGCAUCGGCUAACUCCGUGCCAGCAGCCGCGGUAAUACGGAGGAUGCAAGCGUUAUCCGGAAUGAUUGGGCGUAAAGCGUCCGUAGGUGGUUUUGUAAGUCUGCUGUUAAAGCGUGAGGCUCAACCUCAUACAGGCGGUGGAAACUACAAGACUAGAGUGCGUUCGGGGCAGAGGGAAUUCCUGGUGUAGCGGUGAAAUGCGUAGAGAUCAGGAAGAACACCGGUGGCGAAAGCGCUCUGCUAGGCCGCAACUGACACUGAGGGACGAAAGCUAGGGGAGCGAAUGGGAUUAGAUACCCCAGUAGUC